AGCUGGGACCAUUACUCUGAUGAUGAGGUAGUUUAGAAUGUAGACUGGGUCCAUUACUCUGAUGAGGUAGUUUAGAAUGUAGACUGAUGAGCUGGGACCAUUACUCUAUGAUGAGGUAGUUUAGGAUAUAGACUGAUGAGCUGGGACCAU
Oncorhynchus keta (chum salmon) is the source of this 150-nucleotide long non-coding RNA. RefSeq lists it as uncharacterized. The record is from RefSeq and is a predicted model, not a curated record. The transcript is spliced from 4 exons. NCBI's taxonomy places the organism in Eukaryota, Metazoa, Chordata, Actinopteri, Salmoniformes, Salmonidae.